UACUAAUGCAACUGCGAAUAGCUGUUUAAUACAGUCGCAAUUGUAUUGACUUAGCAUAUAUAGAAAAUAAUAAUAGUUAUAUUUGGAUAACUAAGGGAAAGUUUGGCUAAUACGUUUUUUGUAUUAAUAAUACAUAUGCAUAUAAUAAUAUUGCAACAUGAUAGAUAUUAUAUAAAUAAUAAAUAGUAUUUAUUUAGUAUAGAGUGGACUUUAUAAUAUAUUAUAUAAUUAUAAAGCAUGUCAAACAAGCAUCUAUAGCAUCAAGUCACAAUGUUGGCAUGUGUAUUAUUGAACCUUCAAAGCAUUUACGCAUUCGGAGGAGUAGUUUCUGAUCCCGUCGAAGGUGCCUGAGAGACGGCACUUAGUUCUAAGGAACGCAGCAGGCGCGUAAAUUGCCCAAUGACAAAACAUGUUAUGUUAUUAUUAAACUUAAUAUAUUAUAUAUUGAGGCAGUGACAAGCUGUAAAGAUUCAAUAUAUUAAUUAAGAUAACAUUUGGAAUUGUCCCUUUAUAAUAUUUUAUAUUAUUUUGGUUGAUAAUAUACCAAUGUUAUAAAAUAUUGAAUUUGAAUGCGGUGAAUAUAAUAAUUUCAAGUAACAUGUAUAAAAUGUUUUAAUUUUAUAUGUUAUUCGAAUUUUCAAGUGGAGGGCAAGUCUGGUGCCAGCAGCCGCGGUAAUACCAGCUCCACUAGCUUAUACAAUCAUUGUUGCGGUUAAGAGGCUCGUAGUUGGAUUGAAUAAAAUAUAUUAUAUAUAAUAUACAAUACUGUGAACAAACCAGAGUGUAUAAAACAUGUAAUAUUUUUAAUUAUUAGCAAUGAAUGUUUUAUCAUGGGAUAUUGCUAAUAUAUGUCGAUGGAGAUAGUUGGAGUUAAGAGUACUGAUAGGCGAGCGGUGAAAUGCAUUGACCCUAUNAAGACUAACAAAAGCGAAGGCACUUAACUAGAUUAUUCUCUUUNUAUUAUUACAAUGAAGAGCGAAGGUUGGGGGAACAAAGAGGAUCAGAUACCCUCGUAGUCCUAUUUUUUACAUCAAACUAUGGGAUUUCAAUUGAAUAAAUUAUUCUCUCAACUAAUAAUUAAAAAUGAUUGAGUGUAAUUAUUUAAUAUACUCUCAUUUAUAAUUAUACAUGUUGAUAUUACACACUAUGAUUAUAUGUACUUUGGGCUCAUAUAAUUAUAUAGGUGAGAUGUAAGCAUUAUAGAUGAUUAAUAUAUUUACUACAUAUUGUAAAUAUUAUUAUAAUUCUAAAUAAAAAUGUAAUGUGAUGCACGUUUUAGGUACGAGCUUACUAUAGAAAUAUUUAAAAUAAUACCCUCCUGGGGNAGUAUGCACGCAAGUGUGAAACUUGAAGGNNNNNNNNNAAGGGCACCACAAGAACGCGUGGAGCAUGUGGCUUAAUUUGACUCAACGCGGGAAAUCUUACCAGGUCCAGACAUAUUGAGGAUUGACAGGCGAUAGUAUAUAUUAUAUAUUAUAUAUAAUAUAUGCAUAAAAAUGAUAGUCCUUUCAUGAUUAUAUGAUAGGUGGUGCAUGGCCGUUCUUAGUUCGUGGAGUGAUUUGUCUGCUUAAUUGCGUUUCAGUUAAAUAAAAUAUAUAAUAUACAUUAAUAUUUUAGUUCUGCCAGCAAUGGAUUUAAAGUGAACAUAUUAUUGUUAUUAAUAUAUAAUAAAUGAAUGCAACGAACGUGACCGUAACCUUUUAUUGCUAUAAUAAUUAUUAAUAUAGCUUAAAAUUAAAGGGACCGCUGUCAUUAUUAUAUGUGUUAAAAUAGAGUAAGAUUACGGCAAUAACAGGUCUGUGAUGCCCUCAGAUGUUCUGGGCUGCACACGUGCUACAAUAAUUACAUUAAUAAGUAUAUAUAUUAAUAUAACAUCAUGUAUGUUAUACACUUAAACCUAUUUCGAAAGUAAAUGGGUAAUCAUUUAAAAAUCGUGAUUAUAUUUAAUUUAAGGUGGGGAUAGUGUAUUGUUAAUUAUUACACUUGGCCUUAACUAGGAAUGCCUUGUACUCUUCUUUGGUUUAACAUACCAAGAGGAAUACGUCCCUGCCCUUUGUACACACCGCCUGUCGCUCUUACCGAUGAAUUAUAUUAUAAAUCUAAGGGAUAUAAAACUCUAGGGUAUAUCAAACUUAUAUACAUAAUGUGAUUUAAAGGAAAGAGAAGUCGUAACAAGGCAUCAGUAGGUGAACCU
RNAcentral lists this ribosomal RNA (2194 nucleotides) under Archaias sp. 6668 MH-2008. Its description in RNAcentral is "SSU rRNA". It matches the Rfam family "Eukaryotic small subunit ribosomal RNA". The record is from RNAcentral. Lineage: Eukaryota; Foraminifera; Miliolida; Soritidae.